This is a long non-coding RNA of Vespula vulgaris, 3441 nucleotides long. RefSeq lists it as uncharacterized. NCBI's taxonomy places the organism in Eukaryota, Metazoa, Arthropoda, Insecta, Hymenoptera, Vespidae. The record is from RefSeq and is a predicted model, not a curated record. The transcript has 4 exons.
GCCUAUGCUCCCUUCUAUACGUUCGAGGAGUGUAUAUUUAUACGUGAAAUCUCCUUGCUUUUUUCAUCUUUUUUUCUUUCUCUUUCCACUUCUCCUUCUCCUUCUCCCUCUUCGUUACUUAUCUCGAUACACGAUCUGCUGCCUCUGCUCCUUCAUCCAGCAACGUAACUCAUAACGGAACCUUUAUGAACGUUUCUUAUCCCUUUUUCAAAAUCUUCUUUUUCUCCAUUCCUUAUUUGUUCCUAUUUAAAAUUCUGAAGAGUGUGAUCAACUUCCGAUGGGUAAGGAAACCAUUAUUUACAUAUCUUCAAAUUUAGCGAUCGUAUAUACCAUUCCAUUCCUUUUGUUAUAUGUUGUAUGUAUGUAUGUAUGUAUGUAUGUAUGUCGCGUUUGGUCGUUCCUCUGUUGUCUCUCGUAAUGCGUUUUAAACAGAACACUUCGUGAACUCCAACAGUAUCGGAUUGAUACGAUACAACGUCAUGAAUUAAACGAAAACAUUGUUCUCAUGAGACGACGUUAAUAACAACACCGUAGACUAAUUCAAUCAACGAUUAUAAUCGAAAUCAAUUAUAAUCAUUAUCAAUUGCAAUUAACGAUUAAACUAAUUAUUUGAUUAUUAUUUGGAGUAAUGAUCACUCGACAUUUUACAGUGUGCAUUUACCAAAUAAGUUAUUGAUGAUUCGUGACAUAUCUACGAAGAGGUUAGUCAAUGAUACGCGUGUCUACGGAGUAAUUCGUCAAUGUCGACGAAACUUUUCAUUAUGUAAUUAAAUGUAUGACUAAGUAACUAAUUUUAUUUGUUAAUCGAAUGAAAUAUUGUCGAAUGUUAACAUCAACCACAUACAUUAUGUUAUUUCUUUUUUUAUUACAUAGCCGACGGAUUCGAGAUCGAAUUACGAAGGAACGUCCUUGUUAGUUUAUUUACAUAAACUAUUCGUUCUUCCUUAUUUUUCUUCUUUCUGUCUUUAUCAGCCCUUCUUUUACUUUACGCUUCUAGUACGUAGACGAGGUUUUUAGGUCGAUAAUUAAUUAAUCGUAAAAAAACCUACUGCGAAGGAUCGUAGCUAACGUCGUAGUUCUAUAAUUACGUAAGUCCUUUGAAAAUGAUGCUCUUAUAGUCUUAUCUUGAAAUAGCAUAUGCACAUCUACGCUGACAUAUACAUAGAUAAACUAAUGUAUAAUAUGUGUGUGUGUGUGUGUGAUACAUUGUACACACGUCUUUCCAUUAUCUGAUCUCUCUUAGGAUCUAGCCUCAUUAUCUAUUAAUUAUCUAUCAGAAUCUGAUUCGGAAUACAGAUAUGUAUUAACCUUAUUCGUGAUUAAAAUUAGUCUACGGUGUUGUUAUUAAUAUCGUCUUAUCUCGAAAAACAAAAAUGUUUCAUGGAUAACAAAGAUGACGAACAAUUUUUAUAAAUAACUUUUAAGAUAGAAACAUGAUAUUGAUAGAACGUAAAGAUAUUUUGAAUUUAUAAUAAUAAGUAAAUUAUUUAAACGAUUAAGUAAGAUGAGAGAGUGAAUCCUUCGUAGGUUAUUAUUAUUAUUGAAUGCAGGUUAUCUUUGUUAAUUACGAUCUAAUUUCGUAUGCUGUGAACGCGCAGACUGAUGUUACGAGCUUGCUACGUAAGCGAUAUUCCCUCUGAACUAUGCGCAUGCGCACAACGUUGAUGUUUCCACAAAUACAAAAUAUUUUUCGCGCAAAAACGAUUCAUUUGUUUUUUUUUUUUUUAAAUCGUCUAACCUUAUAAUUAUAAUGAGAUAUAGAUAAUAAAUACUUGGUCAUUUGAAGAAAUAAUGGUAUUUAGUAUUAUCAUACCAUGCAGUCAUUAAAAUUCUUUACUUUACCUGAAGAACAUCAAGGCCGUGCAGGUGAAAAAAAAUUAGAGAAAAAAUUGCUUUCAAGUAAUAUUGAUAUCCAAUUGUUAUGAUAAACUAAACGGAGAAAAGAUAUGCACACACACACACACACGGGGUUUAUCUCUGAUAAGCACUUAUAUUCGUGUACAUAUUCGAAAUUUCGUGAAAUAUAUUAAUAUUUCUUUUUUUGUAUUUAAAUAAAAGAAAUCGUCUCAAUUAAUAAUAUGAAUGUAACAUAUUGUUAAUAUUAUCAUAUAUUAUUAUGUAUAUUCACUUGCACGAAAGACUAGUUUUACGAAAUGUUCUGACAACAUUAUUAUUUGACUAAUAAAAUUACAACUGCAAUAAUUUGAUAAUUAAUACAAUUAUGUUCCAAUUUAGUAAUUAGUGCUUUUUUUCAACACUAGAUGGCGAGUCGAUAGGGCUUCACAGGCUCGUAAUUAUAGAAUAUUUAUAAAAAGUGCACUGAAUUUUUAAUUUUUAUAAAUAGUUAAUUCAAAAUAAUAAGUGUUAAUAAUUUAAGGAUUAUAUCAUACGAGAAUUAUUAAUUAAUAUGUAACAGUUUAUUGAAGAGAUUUUGUAAAGAUUUAUUACGUAAUUUUUUGUUAUCGUAAUAUUUCUCACGUACAAUUCAAAUCUGCCACUCUUUACGAAUAUCGCCAUUAUUAUUAUAGACGUGGUUUAUUAAGAGUUCCUAUGUAAAAAAAUAAAUGAUUCUUAAGAGUAAUUUUCAUAGAAAAUAAAGCCUGUAUCGAAAAUCUGAAAAAGUAAUUCGUGUGUACUGCAAAAGAUCGUAAUAUAGCUUCGUCGUCACGUUAAUCACAGUUUAUUAAUAUAUAUUUUCUAAUAUAAAGCAUCUUUCAAUAUAUCAAUUGAUUCUCAUUGAUUCUCAUUGAUUGUUGACGAGUUGUGACAACAUGCAAAAUAAAAGAUAUUCGUGUGGAAAAUAAUUGUACGCACGAGUAUGAACACUCCUUACAAUUUUUUUUUGAUCAGUUUUGAGCUUCAUUUCUAUAGAUAUCGAGUUGUAAUAAUUAAUUCUCAUGAUCGAAAAAUUGCAAGUUUCGUGGGAAGGGGGAGCCAUUGUAUAGCAUAUACGAGAGUUUACUUAAUUUUUUUGCUGUUGGUAGUACUGCCAUUUUGAACUAUUUUGUGAUUUGUUUGCAGAGGAGUUUUGUCGUUUCGUUAAUUAAUACAGCCUUCCAAGAAGCUUAUAAAUUAGAAAACCUACGCAGUAUGAUAGAAAUAAUGUUAUCGUAUUUACACGCACGAAUUCAACGAUUCAACGAUUCAACGAUUCAAUGUUUCAUCGAUUCAACAAUAAUUUUAAUCAAUUUCACGGCAUCAUUCGACCUACGUUGAGAAAGAAAAAAGAAAAAGAGUGAAUGAAGAAGAGAAGAAAAAAAAAAGAGAAAAGAGAAAAGGAGAAGAAAAGAAAAAGAGAAAGAGUGCUUUGCUGAGAGAAAGUAAAGUAAUUAAUUUAGAAUAAUUAAUUUAGAAUAAUUGUUUAAAUUAUUAUAUGACAAUUCGAAACAUUUGUAACUAGUAAUAGAUUUUUUUUUAGUAAUAAAUUUACAUUGAAUUAAU